RNAcentral lists this ribosomal RNA (497 nucleotides) under uncultured bacterium. RNAcentral describes it as "partial 16S ribosomal RNA". It matches the Rfam family "Bacterial small subunit ribosomal RNA", at positions 29 to 523 of the family's 1533-position model. The record is from RNAcentral.
AUUGAACGCUGGCGGCAUGCCUUACACAUGCAAGUCGAACGGUAACGCGGGGCAACCUGGCGACGAGUGGCGAACGGGUGAGUAAAGCAUCGGAACGUGCCCAGUAGUGGGGGAUAGCCCGGCGAAAGCCGGAUUAAUACCGCAUACGACCUAAGGGUGAAAGGGGGGAUCGCAAGACCUCUCGCUAUUGGAGCGGCCGAUGUCAGAUUAGGUAGUUGGUGGGGUAAAGGCCUACCAAGCCGACGAUCUGUAGCUGGUCUGAGAGGACGACCAGCCACACUGGGACUGAGACACGGCCCAGACUCCUACGGGAGGCAGCAGUGGGGAAUUUUGGACAAUGGGCGCAAGCCUGAUCCAGCCAUGCCGCGUGCGGGAAGAAGGCCUUCGGGUUGUAAACCGCUUUUGUCAGGGAAGAAAUCCUUUGGGUUAAUACCUCGGGGGGAUGACGGUACCUGAAGAAUAAGCACCGGCUAACUACGUGCCAGCCGCCGCCGUAA